GGGGAAUUUUGCGCAAUGGGCGAAAGCCUGACGCAGCAACGCCGCGUGAGUGAUGAAGGUCUUCGGAUCGUAAAGCUCUUUCGGCUGGGACGAAAACGGUCUGGCUAAUAACCAGGCCCUUGACUGUACCGGAAGAAGAAGCACCGGCUAACUCUGUGCCAGCAGCCGCGGUAAUACAGAGGGUGCAAGCGUUGUUCGGAAUUAUUGGGCGUAAAGCGCUUGUAGGCUGUGACGUAUGUCGGGUGUGAAAGCCCUCGGCUCAACUGAGGAAGUGCGCCCGAAACUACGUUGCUCGAGUGCUGGAGAGGGUAGCGGAAUUCCCGGUGUAGAGGUGAAAUUCGUAGAUAUCGGGAGGAACACCAGUGGCGAAGGCGGCUACCUGGACGGACACUGACGCUGAGACGCGAAAGCGUGGGGAGCAAAC
This 424-nucleotide ribosomal RNA is filed under the name uncultured bacterium. RNAcentral describes it as "bacterial SSU rRNA". It matches the Rfam family "Bacterial small subunit ribosomal RNA", at positions 356 to 773 of the family's 1533-position model. The record is from RNAcentral.